UUCCUCUAUUCCUUCUAUUCCUUCUAUUCCUCUAUUCCUCUCUUCCUCUAUUCCUCCUUUCAUUCUAUUCCUCUAUUCCUAUAUUCCUUCUAUUCCUCUAUUCCUUCUAUUUCUCUAUUCCUCUAUUCCUUCUAUUCCUCUAUUCCUUCUAUUCCUCCAUUCCUUCUAUUCCUCUAUUCCUCUAUUCCUCUAUUCCUUCUAUUCCUCUAUUCCUCUCUUCCUUCUAUUCCUCUAUUCCUCCUUUCCUUCUAUUCCUCCCUUCCUUCUAUUCCUCUAUUCCUUCUAUUUCUCUAUUCCUCUAUUCCUUCUAUUCCUCUAUUCCUUCUAUUCCUCCAUUCCUUCUAUUCCUCUAUUCCUCUAUUCCUCUAUUCCUUCUAUUCCUCUAUUCCUCUCUUCCUUCUAUUCCUCUAUUCCUCCUUUCCUUCUAUUCCUCCCUUCCUUCUAUUCCUCUAUUCCUUCUAUUCCUCUAUUCCUCCCUUCCUUCUAUUCCUCCCUGCUAUUCCUCCCUUCCUUCUAUUCCUCUAUUCCUCCCUUCCUUCUAUUCCUCCCUGCUAUUCCUCUCUUCCUUCUGUCCCUGUAUGUAUGAAUGUAUGAGUGGAGGAAAGGUCUUCAUCCUAAUGCUUUCACCAGUCCAUCUCUGUCCCACCUGAGAUGACAGUUACAAGUGAAAAGACACAAUGACAUCCUCCCUGUGUGAGAGGAAUGAAGCUUUUUAAAUUAGAAUCACAUUUAAAUCUGAACGAGAACACUGACAAUCACAUUCCAAUGCUUCUGUAUAGCCCAACAUUCACAAGAUUUCUUAGAACACUUACAAUCCCAUUCUGGAAUAUUCCGACACUGACAAUCAGAUUCCUGAGGCCUUCUAGAACACAGAAAAAAAGAAUUCAAAAGCAACCUGGUUUUCAUCAGAACUACUUCUUUCUACUCCGCAUUCUAAUGAUAUACAGAGGACAGUAAAGUGUGUAUCUGCUCUAUUAAAUAUUCACUCAGGCAGCCCUUUCAGACUGCAUAACAGGACUGCGUCCCAAUUGGCACCCUAUUCCCUACAUAGCGCACUACUUUUGACCAGGGCCAUAGGGCGUAAGGAAUAGGAUGCUAUGUGGGAUGAAGCCUUAGUGUGUAGGAAGUAGUGCAUAGAGAAUUACACUGUAUACACAAGCUGAGAGAUGGAGGAUAAUGCAUACAUACAUUACGUGCUACAAAGUGUGUGUGUGUGUGUGUGUGUGUGUGUGUGUGUGUGUGUGUGUGUGUGAGAAGGAUGCAGAGAAUAUUGGAUGAAUGUAUAGGUAAUGUAUAGGUAAUGUAUAGGCAUUGUAUAGGUAAUGUGUAGGUAAUGUUAGUUCAUGCAUAUGGCAUGUGUAGGUAAUGUGUAGGUAAUGUGUAGGUGAUGUGCAGGUAAUGUAUGGGUAAUGUGUAGGUGAUGUGCAGGUAAUGUAUGGGUAAUGUGUAGGUGAUGUGCAGGUAAUGUGUAGGUAAUGUGUAGGCAAUGUAUAGGUGAUGUGCAGGUAAUGUAUGGGUAAUGUGUAGGUGAUGUGCAGGUAAUGUAUGGGUAAUGUGUAGGUGAUGUGCGGGUAAUGUGUAGGUAAUGUAUAGGUGAUGUGCAGGUAAUGUGUAGGUAAUGUGUAGGUGAUGUGCAGGCAAUGUGUAGGUAAUGUGUAGGCAAUGUAUAGGUGAUGUGCAGGUAAUGUAUGGGUAAUGUGUAGGUGAUGUGCAGGUAAUGUAUGGGUAAUGUGUAGGUAAUGUGCAGGUAAUGUGCAGGUAAUGUGCAGGUAAUGUGUAGGCAAUGUACAGGUAAAGUAUAGAUAAUGUAAUGUGCCAUACCAUCACACUACUCUAUACCAUCACAAUACUCUAUACCAUCACACUACUCUAUACCAUCAUCCAUACUCCAUACCAUCACACUACUCCAUACCAUCACAAUACUCCAUACCAUCACACUACUCCAUACCAUCACAAUACUCCAUACCAUCACACUACUCUAUACCAUCAUCCAUACUCCAUACCAUCACACGACUCUAUACCAUCAUCCAUACUCCAUACCAUCACACUACUCCAUACCAUCACACUACUCUAUACCAUCACACUACUCUAUACCAUCACACUACUCUAUACCAUCAUCCAUACUCCAUACCAUCACACUACUCUAUACCAUCACACUACUCUAUACCAUCACACUACUCUAUACCAUCA
This is a long non-coding RNA of Oncorhynchus tshawytscha (Chinook salmon), 2190 nucleotides long. The record is from Ensembl. Lineage: Eukaryota; Metazoa; Chordata; Actinopteri; Salmoniformes; Salmonidae.